This 513-nucleotide ribosomal RNA is filed under the name uncultured bacterium. RNAcentral describes it as "partial 16S ribosomal RNA". It matches the Rfam family "Bacterial small subunit ribosomal RNA", at positions 28 to 523 of the family's 1533-position model. The record is from RNAcentral.
GACGAACGCUGGCGGCAUGCCUAAUACAUGCAAGUCGAGCGAACGGAUGAAGUGCUUGCACUUCUGACGUUAGCGGCGAACGGGUGAGUAACACGUAAGGAAUCUACCUAUAAGCGGGGGAUAACAUUCGGAAACGGGUGCUAAUAACGAAUAAUACCUUCUUCCGCCUGGAAGAAGAUUGAAAGACGGCUCUGCUGUCACUUAGAGUUGACCUAGCGGUGCAUUAGUUAGUUGGUGGGGUAAUGGCCUACCAAGCCGAUGAUGCAUAGCCGACCUGAGAGGGUGACCGGCCACAUUGGGACUGAGACACGGCACAAACUCCUACGGGAGGCAGCAGUAGGGAAUCUUCCGCAAUAGGCGAAAGCCUGACGGAGCAAUGCCGCGUGAGUGAAGAAGGCCUUCGGGUCGUAAAACUCUGUUAUAAGAGAAGAACAAAUUGUAGAGUAACUGCUACAGUCUUGACGGUAUCUUAUCAGAAAGCCACGGCUAACUACGUGCCAGCAGCCGCGGUAA